Molecule: ribosomal RNA, 388 nt
Filed under: uncultured bacterium
Lineage: Bacteria
Description: bacterial SSU rRNA
Rfam family: Bacterial small subunit ribosomal RNA
Source: RNAcentral
AUUGAACGCUGGCGGCGUGCUUAACACAUGCAAGUCGUGCGAGAAAGGGGACUUCGGUCCCUGAGUAGAGCGGCGCACGGGUGAGUAACGCGUGGAUUAUCUACCCAGACGUUCGGGAUAACGGCGGGAAACUGCCGCUAAUACCGGAUACGCUCCAAUUUCGGUUGGGGAAAGGCGGCCUCUGCUUGCAAGCUGUCGCAUCUGGAUGAGUCCGCGUCCCAUUAGCUUGUUGGUGGGGUAAUGGCCUACCAAGGCUACGAUGGGUAGCUGGUCUGAGAGGAUGAUCAGCCACACUGGAACUGAAACACGGUCCAGACUCCUACGGGAGGCAGCAGUGGGGAAUAUUGCGCAAUGGGGGAAACCCUGACGCAGCGACGCCGUGUGAGGG